RNAcentral lists this small RNA (29 nucleotides) under Bombyx mori (domestic silkworm). RNAcentral's name for it is "ovarian small RNA-2890". The record is from RNAcentral. Lineage: Eukaryota; Metazoa; Arthropoda; Insecta; Lepidoptera; Bombycidae.
UAAGGCUUUGUUUUGCUUAUGAUGGCAAC